UGGAAUGUAGCCAAAAGGGAAGGCAGCGAUUUUUGGUAUCGUGAUUAGAGGUUCGAGUCCUCUCAUUCCAA
This 71-nucleotide transfer RNA is filed under the name Goniomonas avonlea. RNAcentral's name for it is "tRNA-Gln". It matches the Rfam family "tRNA". Rfam says of the family: Transfer RNA (tRNA) molecules are approximately 80 nucleotides in length. Their secondary structure includes four short double-helical elements and three loops (D, anti-codon, and T loops). Lineage: Eukaryota; Cryptophyceae; Goniomonadida; Goniomonadaceae. The record is from RNAcentral.